UUCUUCCCUUCUUGGCCUGAAGAAGUCUUUUCUCUACUUACCGAGCUAGCUAUUAAUUGCUGCUCUACUAGAACAUAGACGCACGAACAUAGCCUUCUUUUCUUCCUCCCCUCUCCCCCUGUUCCCUGCCUCAGGUCGCCCUCCAAGUAGAGGUACUACCGAGCAAGGCUUGAUGAUGCAUGCUACUGGAUCCGAAUCCCCUCUUCUAUCCUGAUGCUAUUCCCCUAAUUUUCUCUGUCGAUUAAAGCCCUAAUGCUCUGACUUUGGGGCUGGUCUGCUAGCUCUCCUUCACCUCCGGCUCAGGUCGCUGGCCGUAGUCGCAGCUACGCUGCUGGAUGGCCGAUGCUGGAACUAGAGUACACGGCCGUGCGCUGCUCCGGCAUCGACUGCAGCCUUAGUUACAGCUGAGAAUGGUGCUAAGAAGCAUAGGGUGGCACAAAAAUUAUGCACGCACCUUGCUGGCUAGGAGCUGCAUGCCGCUGGAGAUUUACUCGAUGGUGGUCAAUUGCAGCUUGCAGGGGCUCCCCUUGUUAGCUUCACCCCCUUGGAUCUUGGUCAGUUCGCCAGAUACCUCAUGGUCUCUCUCCUCCUCUGGCGUGAUCUUGCUUGGAGGUCACCAUCUUCUGAAUGUUUCUAGGUUUCUGCUAUUUGGGAAGGUGGUGACUGUGGAA
Molecule: long non-coding RNA, 671 nt
Organism: Aegilops tauschii subsp. strangulata
Lineage: Eukaryota; Viridiplantae; Streptophyta; Magnoliopsida; Poales; Poaceae
Source: RefSeq, a predicted model, not a curated record